GAUGAACGCUGGCGGCGUGCCUAAUACAUGCAAGUCGAGCGAACAGAUGAGGAGCUUGCUCCUCUGACGUUAGCGGCGGACGGGUGAGUAACACGUGGAUAACCUACCUAUAAGACUGGGAUAACUUCGGGACACCGGAGCUAAUACCGGAUAAUAUAUUGAACCGCAUGGUUCAAUAGUGAAAGACGGUUUUGCUGUCACUUCUAGAUGGAUCCGCGCCGCAUUAGCUAGUUGGUAAGGUAACGGCUUACCAAGGCAACGAUGCGUAGCCGACCUGAGGGAGUGAUCGGCCACACUGGAACUGGGACACGGUCCAGACUCCUACGGGAGGCAGCAGUAGGGAAUCUUCCGCAAUGGGCGAAAGCCUGACGGAGCAACGCCGCGUGAGUGAUGAAGGUCUUCGGAUCGUAAAACUCUGUUAUUAGGGAAGAACAAAUGUGUAAGUAACUAUGCACGUCUUGACGGUACCUAAUCAGAAAGCCACGGCUAACUACGUG
Molecule: ribosomal RNA, 497 nt
Filed under: uncultured bacterium
Lineage: Bacteria
Description: partial 16S ribosomal RNA
Rfam family: Bacterial small subunit ribosomal RNA
Source: RNAcentral